Molecule: long non-coding RNA, 994 nt
Filed under: Rhinopithecus bieti (black snub-nosed monkey)
Lineage: Eukaryota; Metazoa; Chordata; Mammalia; Primates; Cercopithecidae
Description: lncRNA (ENSRBIG00000045487.1)
Source: RNAcentral
UGGAAGGUGGUGCCAGGCUCUGUGGUUUGGACUGGUCCUACGAGCGAAACAAUAGAAGAGGCUAACCAUCUGCAGAAGAGAAAAGAGGAAGGGAAACUCAGCCUGAGACACAAAGAGGAAGUGUAGGAGACAGAGGUGCUACAGUGGACGAGGUCCUAGUCCCACCCCUGUUACUACAGCCUUGCAGACUACUGCCUGCCCACCAGCAGGAUGCCACGUUUGUAAGGUACCCACCAAGCUCCCAAGUGGGUUGGCACAUAGUGCAGGCUGGAGAGUGAGCAGGAUGCGUGAACCACGUCUUAUCUCUGUGGGAUCCUCUUCUUACACAUUGUCUUCAUCAGCAGGCUUCUGGUGAAAGACAGGGAUGGCAAGUGACUGAAACCCAAGGUGAUGAUCCAUUGGCUUCCCCCAAAUCAAGGAGGGGCAACUCACCAAGCCAUGACAGGCAUGACACUGCUGCUGGGCCUCACAAAUGGUCUGGAACCAAGGGAUGGGUCCGUGAUAUUCUUCCUGGCAGAAAAGGCGGACAUCAACUUGCACAAGAUGGGCAAACUGAGACCCCGAGCCCUGGAGAGAUGUGCUCAGGCAGAUGUGCAGGUCCCCCUGCUCCAGCUUCCAGGCUCCCAGGCUUCAGUCUUCAGUCUUCAGUCGGCCUUUGUUCUGCCACUUUCUCCUGGAAGUCACACCUCCCUCUCUUCCUGCCUGCCACAUCACAGGAGUCUGCACGCCCCCAACCAGCUCAAGAGGCUCUGACAGGUAUGAGUUUGUUGUUUUUGUUGUCUUUUUUUAAAACAGCCUGUGACUUUGCCUUUGUCUAAACAGAGCAGCAGCGAAGACAAAGAACCUGUAAGGCUUCCUUGUCCCUCUGCCAAGCGCUGCCUCUGGUCAGCCAGAGCCACCAACUCUGUUAUCUUUUCUGCUGGAGGCGGUAAGGGCAGGCCCAGCGCUGGGGCUCACCAGGGCCUCUUACUGGUUUUCUCAGCUCUGAUUCUGG